Molecule: ribosomal RNA, 476 nt
Filed under: uncultured bacterium
Lineage: Bacteria
Description: bacterial SSU rRNA
Rfam family: Bacterial small subunit ribosomal RNA
Source: RNAcentral
GAUGAACGCUGGCGGCGUGCUUAACACAUGCAAGUCGAACGAAGAUGCCGGAGUGCUUGCACUUUGGCAGACUGAGUGGCGGACGGGUGAGUAACGCGUGGGUAACCUGCCUUAUACAGGGGGAUAACAGUUGGAAACGACUGCUAAUACCGCAUAAGCGCACGGUAUCGCAUGAUACAGUGUGAAAAACUCCGGUGGUAUAAGAUGGACCCGCGUCUGAUUAGCUUGUUGGUGAGGUAACGGCCCACCAAGGCGACGAUCAGUAGCCGGCCUGAGAGGGUGAACGGCCACAUUGGGACUGAGACACGGCCCAAAACUCCUACGGGAGGCAGCAGUGGGGAAUAUUGGGCAAAUGGAGGAAAACUCUGACCCAGCAACGCCGCGUGGAGGAAGAAGGUUUUUCGGAUCGUAAAACUCCUGUCCUUGGAGACGAGUAGAAGACGGUAUCCAAGGAGGAAGCCCCGGCUAACUACGUG